AUCAACCAAUCAUCUUCUGCAGAUCUAUAUCAUCCGCUGCUUAACUGCUAGUUUAAAUUAAACAAGUAGGAUGACCUGAAAGUGCAAAAUGCUUUUAGAUUGUCCUAGUAGUUUAAAUUAAACAGGUAGGAUGCCCUGAAGGUGCAAAAUGCUUUCAGAUUGUCCUACUAGUGUGAAUUAAACAGGUAGGAUGACCUGAAGUUGCAAAAUGAUUUUAGUCUGUGCUA
Non-coding RNA from Misgurnus anguillicaudatus (oriental weatherfish), 227 nucleotides. Lineage: Eukaryota; Metazoa; Chordata; Actinopteri; Cypriniformes; Cobitidae. The record is from RefSeq and is a predicted model, not a curated record.